UACGUAGGGUGCGAGCGUUGUCCGGAAUUAUUGGGCGUAAAGAGCUUGUAGGCGUUUUGUCGCGUCUGCCGUAAAAAUCCGGGGCUCAACCCCGGACUUGCGGUGGGUACGGGCAGACUAGAGUGUGGUAGGGGAGACUGGAAUUCCUGGUGUAGCGGUGAAAUGCGCAGAUAUCAGGAGGAACACCGAUGGCGAAGGCAGGUCUCUGGGCCACUACUGACGCUGAGAAGCGAAAGCGUGGGGAGCGAACAGG
RNAcentral lists this ribosomal RNA (253 nucleotides) under uncultured bacterium. Its description in RNAcentral is "partial 16S ribosomal RNA". It matches the Rfam family "Bacterial small subunit ribosomal RNA", at positions 524 to 776 of the family's 1533-position model. The record is from RNAcentral.